Molecule: ribosomal RNA, 425 nt
Filed under: Citrobacter freundii
Lineage: Bacteria; Pseudomonadati; Pseudomonadota; Gammaproteobacteria; Enterobacterales; Enterobacteriaceae
Description: bacterial SSU rRNA
Rfam family: Bacterial small subunit ribosomal RNA
Source: RNAcentral
UGCCUUCGGGAACUCUGAGACAGGUGCUGCAUGGCUGUCGUCAGCUCGUGUUGUGAAAUGUUGGGUUAAGUCCCGCAACGAGCGCAACCCUUAUCCUUUGUUGCCAGCGAUUCGGCCGGGAACUCAAAGGAGACUGCCAGUGAUAAACUGGAGGAAGGUGGGGAUGACGUCAAGUCAUCAUGGCCCUUACGAGUAGGGCUACACACGUGCUACAAUGGCAUAUACAAAGAGAAGCGACCUCGCGAGAGCAAGCGGACCUCAUAAAGUAUGUCGUAGUCCGGAUUGGAGUCUGCAACUCGACUCCAUGAAGUCGGAAUCGCUAGUAAUCGUGGAUCAGAAUGCCACGGUGAAUACGUUCCCGGGCCUUGUACACACCGCCCGUCACACCAUGGGAGUGGGUUGCAAAAGAAGUAGGUAGCUUAACC